RNAcentral lists this transfer RNA (69 nucleotides) under Catopuma badia (bay cat). RNAcentral's name for it is "tRNA-Asp". It matches the Rfam family "tRNA". Rfam says of the family: Transfer RNA (tRNA) molecules are approximately 80 nucleotides in length. Their secondary structure includes four short double-helical elements and three loops (D, anti-codon, and T loops). Lineage: Eukaryota; Metazoa; Chordata; Mammalia; Carnivora; Felidae. The record is from RNAcentral.
GAAGUAUUAGUAAAAUGAUUACAUAACUUUGUCAAAGUUAAGUUAUAGGCCUAAAUCCUAUAUACUUCC